Molecule: ribosomal RNA, 437 nt
Filed under: uncultured bacterium
Lineage: Bacteria
Description: bacterial SSU rRNA
Rfam family: Bacterial small subunit ribosomal RNA
Source: RNAcentral
GAUUAACGCGAAGAACCUUACCUACCCUUGACAUGGUCGGAAUCCUGCUGAGAGGUGGGAGUGCUCGAAAGAGAACCGGCGCACAGGUGCUGCAUGGCUGUCGUCAGCUCGUGUCGUGAGAUGUUGGGUUAAGUCCCGCAACGAGCGCAACCCUUGUCCUUAGUUGCUACGCAAGAGCACUCUAAGGAGACUGCCGGUGACAAACCGGAGGAAGGUGGGGAUGACGUCAAGUCCUCAUGGCCCUUAUGGGUAGGGCUUCACACGUCAUACAAUGGUCGGAACAGAGGGUUGCCAACCCGCGAGGGGGAGCUAAUCCCAGAAAACCGAUCGUAGUCCGGAUUGCACUCUGCAACUCGAGUGCAUGAAGCUGGAAUCGCUAGUAAUCGCGGAUCAGCAUGCCGUGGUGAAUACGUUCCCGGCCUUGUACACACCGAAUC